UCAUCUCAUUGGACCACAACACUCUUUCACACCCUCAAAUCCAUAGCAGUUGUGGGUUACUCUCUCUCAUAUCCCCUCUCUAAUUCUGCAAUUUUUUUUGUUCCAUAUACAUAUUCAAUUUGGUUGGCUUGAAUUUUUUACUCGUUAUGAAGCAAAUUGUUGGGCAAAUUUGGUUGGCUUGAUUUUUUAAUUCUCAACUGGGCAAAUUUUGUUGGCAUGAUUUCUUGAUUCUUGAUUAUUGUUUUAACUAGGGGAAUUUGGUUUGUUUUAACUAGGGAAAUUUGGUUGGCGAUUUGUUGCAAAUUUAGUUGGCUUGAAUUUUUCACUGGUGAUGAAGCAAAUUAUUGGGCAAAUUUGGUUGGCUUGAUUUUGUCAUUCUCAACUGGGCAAAUUUUGUUGGCAUGAUUUCUUGAUUGCUGAUUAUUUUUUUAUCUAGGCAGAUUUGGUUUGUUUUAUCUGGGCAAAUUUGGUUGGCGAUUUGUUGAGUUUUGAUUAUUGUCAUAAAUUCAUAAUCAGAACAAAGUUUCUACGGCUGCUGUGGAUUUGAGGGGUGAAAGAGCAACCGACGGCCGCUGGAUUUGGAGGGGAGAUUGAGAGAAAAUAACCCACGGCUGCUCGAUCUGGAGGGGAGAGGAAAUGGAUUCGAUGGGGAGAUUUUAUGUCGUUGAGGGAGAGAACGAGAGAGCGCGUGUGUAUUGCAGGUGUCAAAAUUAUCAAUUCACAGUGACUAUUUAUAUUUAUUUCAAAAUGCAUCCUUCGGUGCUAU
RNAcentral lists this long non-coding RNA (766 nucleotides) under Citrus x clementina. RNAcentral describes it as "Citrus clementina (C. clementina) long non-coding RNA (CCLE_LNC000863)". The record is from RNAcentral. Lineage: Eukaryota; Viridiplantae; Streptophyta; Magnoliopsida; Sapindales; Rutaceae.